AACGCACAUUGCGCCCGCCAGUAUUCUGGCGGGCAUGCCUGUUCGAGCGUCAUUUCAACCCUCAAGCUCUGCUUGGUGUUGGGGAUCGGCGUGCCCUGCUCUGCCCUCCGUGGCGGGCGCGGGCCGCCGCCCCCGAAAUGAAUUGGCGGUCUCGUCGCAGCCUUCCUUUGCGUAGUAACAUACCACCUCGCAAGCAGGAGCGCGGCGCGGCCACUGCCGUAAAACGCCCAACUUCUCAAGAGUUGACCUCGAAUCAGGUAGGAAUACCCGCUGAACUUAA
Molecule: unclassified non-coding RNA, 280 nt
Filed under: uncultured fungus
Lineage: Eukaryota; Fungi
Description: partial contains 5.8S ribosomal RNA, internal transcribed spacer 2, and large subunit ribosomal RNA
Rfam family: 5.8S ribosomal RNA (bases 1-52)
Source: RNAcentral